ACAGAAGACGUGUGAAACGAGCUGUUACAAAAGGACGCUAAGGAGUUUUCUACUGCCCCUCCUAUCUCCUGUCAUAGAUUCAGUUUUCCAGGAAGUCAGCAUACAGUGAGCCAACAGCUAUCCUGUCUCCUCCGAGAAAAAGCAAAUUGGUUUCCAUCGCUACCUGGCCCGCAGAAUCAGUUUACAGGAUGGUUUGCCAUUUCUGCUAAAAGGGGACUCCAUACUGUAAACUG
This 233-nucleotide long non-coding RNA is filed under the name Capra hircus (goat). RNAcentral's name for it is "lncRNA (ENSCHIG00010005753.1)". The record is from RNAcentral. Lineage: Eukaryota; Metazoa; Chordata; Mammalia; Artiodactyla; Bovidae.